This 246-nucleotide ribosomal RNA is filed under the name uncultured bacterium. RNAcentral's name for it is "partial 16S ribosomal RNA". It matches the Rfam family "Bacterial small subunit ribosomal RNA", at positions 86 to 334 of the family's 1533-position model. The record is from RNAcentral.
AGAUGGCGACCGGCGCACGGGUGAGUAACACGUAUCCAACCUGCCGAUAACUCGGGGAUAGCCUUUCGAAAGAAAGAUUAAUACCCGAUGGUAUAAUCAGACCGCAUGGUCUUGUUAUUAAAGAAUUUCGGUUAUCGAUGGGAUGCGUUCCAUUAGGCAGUUGGUGAGGUAACGGCUCACCAAACCUUCGAUGGAUAGGGGUUCUGAGAGGAAGGUCCCCCACAUUGGAACUGAGACACGGUCCAA